Mycobacterium leprae TN is the source of this 240-nucleotide non-coding RNA. Lineage: Bacteria; Bacillati; Actinomycetota; Actinomycetes; Mycobacteriales; Mycobacteriaceae. The record is from Rfam.
UGAUGCAGCUGGUCUGCUGGUUCCGCACCACACGGCGCCAGUAUCGAGUGAUGCUAGCUCAGCAUCGCGAGAGGGAACCCGGUGAGAAUCCGGGACUGUCCCGCAGCGGUAUGCAGGAACGACCGCCGUCUGGAAGCACUGGUCUUAGAAAAAUCCGAGACUGGGAAGCGAUGGCCAUUAGAAGCACCUAUCCAGUGCGCGCCUGCGAGUCCGAAGACCUGCCGGCUGUGUCGGGCGCGC